Molecule: ribosomal RNA, 434 nt
Filed under: unidentified marine eubacterium
Lineage: Bacteria
Description: bacterial SSU rRNA
Rfam family: Bacterial small subunit ribosomal RNA
Source: RNAcentral
UUAAUUCGAUGCAACGCGAAGAACCUUACCAGGGUUUGACAUCCCCCGAAUCUCUUGCAAACGAGAGAGUGCUUCGGGAGCGGGGAGACAGGUGGUGCAUGGCUGUCGUCAGCUCGUGUCGUGAGAUGUUGGGUUAAGUCCCGCAACGAGCGCAACCCACGUUUUUAGUUGCCAUCAUUCAGUUGGGCACUCUAGAGAAACUGCCGGUGACAAACCGGAGGAAGGUGUGGACGACGUCAAGUCAUCAUGCCCCUUACAUCCUGGGCUACACACGUACUACAAUGCUCCGGACAGCGAGACGCGAAGCCGCGAGGUGAAGCAAAUCUCCCAAACCGGGGCUCAGUUCAGAUUGCAGGCUGCAACUCGCCUGCAUGAAGGCGGAAUCGCUAGUAAUCGCAGGUCAGCAUACUGCGGUGAAUACGUUCCCGGGCCUU